AGAAGGGGAAAAGGUGGGGGUUGGGACCUGUUGGAGGAGUGGUGGACUCUAAAUUAAAAAGGUUCUUAAUUCUGAUCAAGUAUUCUAAAGUUGUGUUAUUUUAGAGUUGGAAAACUUGGUGGAUGAGAAAGUUUAUGAUACAAUUAAUUAAGGCUUUAGUGGUAGACUUGGUAAAUGGAUUUUGAUAUGAUUUCAUCUAUUUUGUGAUAUGUUGACAGCUUGAUCUGCAGAAUUUUCAUUUUCUUAGGUGGGGUUUGGGUUUAAUUGUGAUCUAGUUUGCAUUGCUCAAUUAUAACUUCUGGCGAUUUUAUAGAAUUUGGCCAUGGGCUGAGAUUUUCCUUGCUGCUUCCAGUUUGUUCUUGACUAAGAUUUUCCUUGCUGCUCCCAGUUUGUUCUUGACAAAGAAAACUCACAGGUAGAGCUCUUUUGCAGAUAGAGUUCUCAUCACUCGUGGA
RNAcentral lists this unclassified non-coding RNA (455 nucleotides) under Hevea brasiliensis (rubber tree). Lineage: Eukaryota; Viridiplantae; Streptophyta; Magnoliopsida; Malpighiales; Euphorbiaceae. The record is from RNAcentral.